RNAcentral lists this ribosomal RNA (637 nucleotides) under Escherichia coli. Its description in RNAcentral is "bacterial SSU rRNA". It matches the Rfam family "Bacterial small subunit ribosomal RNA", at positions 895 to 1532 of the family's 1533-position model. The record is from RNAcentral. Lineage: Bacteria; Pseudomonadati; Pseudomonadota; Gammaproteobacteria; Enterobacterales; Enterobacteriaceae.
UAAAACUCAAAUGAAUUGACGGGGGCCCGCACAAGCGGUGGAGCAUGUGGUUUAAUUCGAUGCAACGCGAAGAACCUUACCUGGUCUUGACAUCCACGGAAGUUUUCAGAGAUGAGAAUGUGCCUUCGGGAACCGUGAGACAGGUGCUGCAUGGCUGUCGUCAGCUCGUGUUGUGAAAUGUUGGGUUAAGUCCCGCAACGAGCGCAACCCUUAUCCUUUGUUGCCAGCGGUCCGGCCGGGAACUCAAAGGAGACUGCCAGUGAUAAACUGGAGGAAGGUGGGGAUGACGUCAAGUCAUCAUGGCCCUUACGACCAGGGCUACACACGUGCUACAAUGGCGCAUACAAAGAGAAGCGACCUCGCGAGAGCAAGCGGACCUCAUAAAGUGCGUCGUAGUCCGGAUUGGAGUCUGCAACUCGACUCCAUGAAGUCGGAAUCGCUAGUAAUCGUGGAUCAGAAUGCCACGGUGAAUACGUUCCCGGGCCUUGUACACACCGCCCGUCACACCAUGGGAGUGGGUUGCAAAAGAAGUAGGUAGCUUAACCUUCGGGAGGGCGCUUACCACUUUGUGAUUCAUGACUGGGGUGAAGUCGUAACAAGGUAACCGUAGGGGAACCUGCGGUUGGAUCACCUCCUU